AAGACAUGGCACAUAUUCGUCAUCUGAAGUGGAUUCUGAAUCAUCACACUUUUUUUUUUGCCCUUUAGCAGGUGCCGUGACUUAGUGUGGUUAGAUGAGGCAGGACUCAACAUGUGUUUGUUAAGGAAAAUCCAAGAAUCAUUGUCAAAGUCCGUAGGUCAGAAAACGAAAACAAGAGCAAGAGUCAAAAGCAGGAAACGCGAGAUAAUGCUUGGCAAAAAAUAAUAAUAAAUAAACUAAUCCAAGGCUUAACAGAACAGGUGAACACUGUAGGGUAACCAACCAAUAGCAGGACAGGAUGGAGACAGGGCUAGAAUAGAAAACAACAGCACAGGGAAAAGUAAACAAAAGCACAUGAUUUGAACCCAAAACAAAGGCAGAGAGAUAGGGAAAUUAGUAACAGGUUCAUUGGAUAAUUAAGGGUUCUUCGCUUCCAAAGAAGGCUGAGGAUCUGAGUGACUUUGACAAGGGCCAAAUUGUGAUGGUUAGAUGACUGGGUCAGAGCAUCUCCAAAACAACAAGUCUUGUGGGGCGUUCCCAUCAUGCAGUGGUUAUUACCUACCAAAAGAGCUCCAAGGAAAGACAACCAGUGAACCGGUGCAAAAGUUAAUACUGGCUAUGACAGAAAGGUAUCAGAACACACAGUGCGCGUAGCCAGAGACCAGUCAGAGUGCCCAUGCUGACCCCUGUUCAUCACCGAACGCAACUACAAUGGUCACAUAUGUGCGUCACUUACCUGAGGAAGCGAUAGCACCAGGAUGCACUAUAGGAAGAAGACAGUAUGAUGCUCUGGACAGUAUUCUGUUGAGAAAACGUGGGUCCUGGUAUCUAUGUGGAUGUUACUUCGUACCACCUACAUAAACAUUGCAGACAGAGUACAUGUCACGGUUUCCUCUUUAAGCAGCACGCUGGAGAGCAUGUGGGCGCGUGCACGAGUACCUGCUUCUCGUUUGGUGACAAUCGUGACAUUGGACACAUGCAUUUUCGUUAUGUGUCAGUUAUGUCUCCUCCCUGUUCUGGCUGUUAUUUCACAUGUCUAGAUUGUGUCAGCCCUCAG
Molecule: long non-coding RNA, 1057 nt
Organism: Ictalurus punctatus (channel catfish)
Lineage: Eukaryota; Metazoa; Chordata; Actinopteri; Siluriformes; Ictaluridae
Source: Ensembl